UACGGAGGAUGCGAGCGUUAUCCGGAUUUAUUGGGUUUAAAGGGUGCGUAGGCGGGCUGUUAAGUCAGCGGUCAAAUGUCGGGGCUCAACCCCGGCCUGCCGUUGAAACUGGCGGCCUCGAGUGGGCGAGAAGUAUGCGGAAUGCGUGGUGUAGCGGUGAAAUGCAUAGAUAUCACGCAGGACUCCGAUUGCGAAGGCAGCAUACCGGCGCCCGACUGACGCUGAGGCACGAAAGCGUGGGUAUCGAACAGG
This 252-nucleotide ribosomal RNA is filed under the name uncultured bacterium. RNAcentral describes it as "partial 16S ribosomal RNA". It matches the Rfam family "Bacterial small subunit ribosomal RNA", at positions 524 to 776 of the family's 1533-position model. The record is from RNAcentral.